AGCAGCGUGGCUUAGUGGAAAGAGCACGGGCUUGGGAGUCAGAGGUCAUGGGUUCUAAUCCCACCUCUGUCA
Molecule: transfer RNA, 72 nt
Filed under: Ornithorhynchus anatinus (platypus)
Lineage: Eukaryota; Metazoa; Chordata; Mammalia; Monotremata; Ornithorhynchidae
Rfam family: tRNA
About the family: Transfer RNA (tRNA) molecules are approximately 80 nucleotides in length.
Source: Rfam by way of RNAcentral